ACGGGUGCGUAACGCGUGGGAAUCUGCCCAAAGGUACGGAAUAACUCCUCGAAAGGGGUGCUAAUACCGUAUGAUGUCGCAAGACCAAAGAUUUAUCGCCUUUGGAUGAGCCCGCGUAGGAUUAGCUAGUUGGUGGGGUAAAGGCCUACCAAGGCGACGAUCCUUAGCUGGUCUGAGGGGAUGAUCAGCCACACUGGGACUGAGACACGGCCCAGACUCCUACGGGAGGCAGCAGUGGGGAAUAUUGGACAAUGGGCGAAAGCCUGAUCCAGCAAUGCCGCGUGAGUGAUGAAGGCCUUAGGGUUGUAAAGCUCUUUUACCCGGGAAGAUAAUGACUGUACCGGGAGAAUAAGCUCCGGCUAACUCCGUGCCAGCAGCCGCGGUAAUACGGAGGGAGCUAGCGUUGUUCGGAAUUACUGGGCGUAAAGCGCACGUAGGCGGCUUUACAAGUCAGAGGUGAAAGCCUGGAGCUCAACUCCAGAAUUGCCUUUGAGACUGUAUCGCUUGAACACGGGAGAGGUGAGUGGAAUUCCGAGUGUAGAGGUGAAAUUCGUAGA
Molecule: ribosomal RNA, 557 nt
Filed under: uncultured bacterium
Lineage: Bacteria
Description: bacterial SSU rRNA
Rfam family: Bacterial small subunit ribosomal RNA
Source: RNAcentral